Molecule: ribosomal RNA, 448 nt
Filed under: uncultured bacterium
Lineage: Bacteria
Description: bacterial SSU rRNA
Rfam family: Bacterial small subunit ribosomal RNA
Source: RNAcentral
GACCAGACUCCUACGGGAGGCAGCAGUGGGGGAUAUUGCACAAUGGGGGAAACCCUGAUGCAGCGACGCCGCGUGGGCGAAGAAGUAUUUCGGUAUGUAAAGCCCUAUCAGCAGGGAAGAAGAAAUGACGGUACCUGAGUAAGAAGCACCAGCUAAAUACGUGCCAGCAGCCGCGGUAAUACGUAUGGUGCAAGCGUUAUCCGGAUUUACUGGGUGUAAAGGGAGCGCAGGCGGCACGGCAAGCCUGAUGUGAAAGCCCGCGGCCCAACCGCGGGACUGCAUUGGGAACUACCGGGCUGGAGUGCCGGAGAGGUAGGCGGAAUUCCUAGUGUAGCGGUGAAAUGCGUAGAUAUUAGGAGGAACACCGGUGGCGAAGGCGGCCUGCCGGACUGCAACUGACGUUGAGGCCCGAAAGCGUGGGGAGCAAACAGGAUUAGAUACCCUUGUA